RNAcentral lists this ribosomal RNA (603 nucleotides) under alpha proteobacterium TSAR35. RNAcentral's name for it is "bacterial SSU rRNA". It matches the Rfam family "Bacterial small subunit ribosomal RNA", at positions 120 to 758 of the family's 1533-position model. The record is from RNAcentral. Lineage: Bacteria; Pseudomonadati; Pseudomonadota; Alphaproteobacteria.
GGGACCUACCUUUAGGUACGGAACAACAGUUGGAAACGACUGCUAAUACCGUAUGUGCCCUAUGGGGGAAAGAUUUAUCGCCUAAGGAUGGGCCCGCGUUGGAUUAGCUAGUUGGUGGGGUAACGGCCUACCAAGGCGACGAUCCAUAGCUGGUCUGAGAGGAUGAUCAGCCACACUGGGACUGAGACACGGCCCAGACUCCUACGGGAGGCAGCAGUGGGGAAUAUUGGACAAUGGGGGCAACCCUGAUCCAGCCAUGCCGCGUGAGUGAUGAAGGCCCUAGGGUUGUAAAGCUCUUUCAGCGAGGAGGAUAAUGACGUUACUCGCAGAAGAAACCCCGGCUAACUUCGUGCCAGCAGCCGCGGUAAUACUAAGGGGGCUAGCGUUGUUCGGAAUCUCUGGGCGUAAAGCGCACGUAGGCGGAUUGAUAAGUUAGGGGUGAAAUCCCGGGGCUCGCCUCGGAACUGCCUUUGAUACUGUCUGUCUUGAGUCCUAGAGAGGUGAGUGGAACUCCUAGUGUGGAGGUGAAAUUCGUAGAUAUUCGGAAGAACACCAGUGGCGAACGGCAGCUCACUGGCUCGGUACUGACGCUGAGGUGCUAAA